GCAAGUCGAGCGGAAACGAAGAAUAGCUUGCUAUUCUGGCGUCGAGCGGCGGACGGGUGAGUAAUGCUUGGGAAUCUACCUAGUCGAGGGGGACAACAGUUGGAAACGACUGCUAAUACCGCAUACGACCUACGGGUGAAAGGGGGCCUCUUCUUGAAAGCUCUCGCGACUGGAUGAGCCCAAGUGGGAUUAGCUAGUAGGUGGGGUAAUGGCUCACCUAGGCGACGAUCCCUAGCUGGUCUGAGAGGAUGAUC
This 254-nucleotide ribosomal RNA is filed under the name uncultured bacterium. RNAcentral's name for it is "partial 16S ribosomal RNA". It matches the Rfam family "Bacterial small subunit ribosomal RNA", at positions 57 to 305 of the family's 1533-position model. The record is from RNAcentral.